CCUCUCCUUCCUCUGCCAGUACCAACCAGUCUUCCGUAUCACUAUGUAUUGCAAGAGUCUCACAAGAAGAUAUCCAUCACUGACUGAUCUUCCUCCCGUUUAACAUCCCCAACAGGUAAAUAAAUCAUGGAGUCACCACGAGGGCGUUCAUCUGCCAGGCACUAUUCUGAACGAUAUUGGCUCAUUAAAUUCUCACAGAAACCCUAUGCAGCAGGGCCCUUGUGACUGGACCUCAUGCCAAACAACUCGUUACAAAAAGAGCUAGGGUUCCAGACUGCGCCGAAGCUUCAUGAGACCUCUCCUUGUCUGCAUGGACGAGUGGCCAACUCUGGAGCCCAGGCUGUUGCUUCCCAGUCUGGUGGUGAAUCCUCCAUAGUCUGCAAAGAAGAUGAGAAAGAAAGGCGAAAACUACAUUCAGCAACCAGCAUAGCUGGACAACCGUAACUCAAAAGCCCCUUGGUCCUCCUUAGGCUGGGGCUGAAGGUUGUUUGCAAAUUGAUAAUCAACCCAGCCAUACCUGGCAGCUUUCCAUUUCUUCCUGAAGUCACUGAGGCACUGAGGAAGACAAUCUGGCCCCAAUGAUCAUUAAUUGCCUGAAUUCUAAUUCCUUGCUACUCAAAGUGUGCUCUGUGGCCGGUCAGCAUCAGCAUCAGGUGGAAGCUUAUUAGAAAUGCCCACCCAAGGACUCUUCUCAGAAGGCUUCAGAGUUGGCAGUGACCCAUGUGGCCCCUCCUGCUUGUCCCAGCCACUGGUCCCUGGAUCAAGCUAGACACAUGUCCCAAAUUGGGCCAACUUGGAAUGGGGCCUCAACCUAAAGCAGCAACUUACUCCCUGCUCGGAGGCCUAGUGGACUCAGGGGACUGUGGAGAAGCAGAAGGCAGAGGUGUGAGGGGAAAGAAAGCGGAUGUGCACAGAGAAGCAGAGACCAAAGAGCUUUUGGGCCUGGGAUACACAGAACAGUGACCCCGGCUCCCUCUGGCAGGUCCUGCAGCUCCUAAUCCAGACCCAGAGCACGGCCCCUAACCCUGGAUCCCCUGAGACUCACCUGCUCCUUCCCACAGAUGCCCCUUAAGGUUUCACUAGUAAGAGUGGAUUUCCAGCUGUCUAUUUCCUUCCUUCCUUUCUUUCCUUCUUUUCUAUUUAUUGAGGUGAAGUUAACAUAAACUUAACCAUUUUAAAGUGGACAA
This 1187-nucleotide long non-coding RNA is filed under the name Homo sapiens (human). Its description in RNAcentral is "HSALNT0166716". The record is from RNAcentral. Lineage: Eukaryota; Metazoa; Chordata; Mammalia; Primates; Hominidae.